Macrobrachium nipponense is the source of this 820-nucleotide long non-coding RNA. RefSeq lists it as uncharacterized. The transcript is spliced from 3 exons. The record is from RefSeq and is a predicted model, not a curated record. Lineage: Eukaryota; Metazoa; Arthropoda; Malacostraca; Decapoda; Palaemonidae.
GUUUCAGAAUGAGUGCACAAGAUAAAUCUCAGUCACAAGGAAGGAUACCUGAGACCGACAAACAUUACUUUGGGUCACGAAAAAUUAACGGCAGUAAAGCCUGAAGAGACAAGGGAGCUCCUAGGUAAGGUGUCGAGAGACUUAAGAAUGGGAAUGAGGAAAGUUGUGAGAGAGCAAACAACAGGAGCCCUAGCUUUAUGGUGGCUGUGGAAGACAAAUCUCUGAAGCUAUGAAUCAGUCUGAUGAAAUGAUUGGACCCACAGAGGUGGAAUGGGAUCAAUAUCCAGGCGACUUGGUGACCACACUGUAAAAGCACUGCAUAGCUGGCAGAUUUCCAGCCUUCUUGUGUUGUUUCACAAAUUAUAUGUAUGUUACACUAAGAAAUAAUUCCUUAAUGCCUUUAGAACACACUGUACAUUGUUUUGUAUUUAUUUCCACAAUUCUGAACUCUCCACAUAAUUUGUUAAAUUUGAUUUUAUUGAGAUGAUAUGUGAUCAUCUGGAACCCUGUUACAGUAAAAUGGCUUUUAUAAGUACGUUCGAGAUGUAGCGAGUUUUUCACCCAUAAGUAUUCUGGGAUGUUGACUUGCUCAUAAUAAAAUUUCUAUUAAUUCUUGAGUACAGUAAUGACUUUUUAAUUACCUAUUCUCUAGGCUUACUUUAUUACAAUAAUGGAGAAAGAGCAAUUAAUGAUGUACAUAAAAGGGAUGAAUGCAUUUAAAUUUCCCUAAAUUUGUCUUUUAAACCUGAUGGCUUUGAAUAUACAUAUAUGUCAAGAUUUUUAUUGUAUUACUAUACUGCAAUUCCUAUAUAGUUUAAGC